GUGUUCUCUUCAGCAGCACAUAUAAUAAUACUGGAACCAUACAGAGAAAAUUAGCCUGGCCCCUGAGCAAAGAUGACACACAAAUUUGUGAAGCAGUCCGUAUUUUU
Molecule: small nuclear RNA, 107 nt
Organism: Rhinolophus ferrumequinum (greater horseshoe bat)
Lineage: Eukaryota; Metazoa; Chordata; Mammalia; Chiroptera; Rhinolophidae
Source: Ensembl